UGGGAUUACAGGUGUACACAACUUUCCUGC
RNAcentral lists this non-coding RNA (30 nucleotides) under Mus musculus (house mouse). The record is from RNAcentral. Lineage: Eukaryota; Metazoa; Chordata; Mammalia; Rodentia; Muridae.